UACGGAGGGGGCUGCGUUGUUCGGAAUUACUGGGCGUAAAGCGCACGUAGGCGGACUGGAAAGUUGGAGGUGAAAUCCCAGGGCUCAACCUUGGAACUGCCUUCAAAACUCCCAGUCUAGAGUUCGAGAGAGGUGAGUGGAAUUCCGAGUGUAGAGGUGAAAUUCGUAGAUAUUCGGAGGAACACCAGUGGCGAAGGCGGCUCACUGGCUCGAUACUGACGCUGAGGUGCGAAAGCGUGGGGAGCAAACAGGAUUAGAAACCCUUGUAGU
Molecule: ribosomal RNA, 270 nt
Filed under: uncultured bacterium
Lineage: Bacteria
Description: partial 16S ribosomal RNA
Rfam family: Bacterial small subunit ribosomal RNA
Source: RNAcentral